This 281-nucleotide long non-coding RNA is filed under the name Brassica napus (rape). Its description in RNAcentral is "long non-coding RNA (BNAP_LNC013700)". Lineage: Eukaryota; Viridiplantae; Streptophyta; Magnoliopsida; Brassicales; Brassicaceae. The record is from RNAcentral.
GGGUUGCUGCUCACAUUGAACGCAAGCUACAAUGGUCUCAUUCAGCACAUGCUAAGGUCCGAGAAGUUACCUGACCUUGAGGAAGUGUGUGCUCAGAUACAAAGGGAGCAGGGCUCAAUGGGCUUGUUUGGAGGCAAGGGAGACUUAUCUCUUGCAAAUGCUGUGCAGUCUGACCGUGAAGAACCUCCUCAAGCCAACAAAGCUGGCUACAACAAGUAUGAGAAGUUCAAUGGGAAUUGUGAUCAUUGCAAGAGGUAUGGGCACAAGAAGAUUCAGUGCUG